GAGUUUGAUCGUGGCUCAGAGUGAACGCUGGCGGUAGGCCUAACACAUGCAAGUCGAACGGCAGCACAGUAAGAGCUUGCUCUUAUGGGUGGCGAGUGGCGGACGGGUGAGGAAUACAUCGGAAUCUACUUUUUCGUGGGGAUAACGUAGGGAAACUUACGCUAAUACCGCAUACGACCUACGGGUGAAAGCAGGGGAUCUUCGGACCUUGCGCGAUUGAAUGAGCCGAUGUCGGAUUAGCUAGUUGGCGGGGUAAAGGCCCACCAAGGCGACGAUCCGUAGCUGGUCUGAGAGGAUGAUCAGCCACACUGGAACUGAGACACGGUCCAGACUCCUACGGGAGGCAGCAGUGGGGAAUAUUGGACAAUGGGCGCAAGCCUGAUCCAGCCAUACCGCGUGGGUGAAGAAGGCCUCGGUUGUAAGA
RNAcentral lists this ribosomal RNA (424 nucleotides) under uncultured microorganism. Its description in RNAcentral is "bacterial SSU rRNA". It matches the Rfam family "Bacterial small subunit ribosomal RNA", at positions 9 to 430 of the family's 1533-position model. The record is from RNAcentral.